AGACCCGAAACCCGGUGAUCUAGCCAUGGGCAGGUUGAAGGUUGGGUAACACUAACUGGAGGACCGAACCGACUAAUGUUGAAAAAUUAGCGGAUGACCUGUGGCUGGGGGUGAAAGGCCAAUCAAACCGGGAGAUAGCUGGUUCUCCCCGAAAGCUAUUUAGGUAGCGCCUCGUGAAUUCAUCUCCGGGGGUAGAGCACUGUUUCGGCUAGGGGGCCAUCCCGGCUUACCAACCCGAUGCAAACUGCGAAUACCGGAGAAUGUUAUCACGGGAGACACACGGCGGGUGCUAACGUCCGUCGUGAAGAGGGAAACAACCCAGACCGCCAGCUAAGGUCCCAAAGUCAUGGUUAAGUGGGAAACGAUGUGGGAAGGCCCAGACAGCCAGGAUGUUGGCUUAGAAGCAGCCAUCAUUUAAAGAAAGCGUAAUAGCUCACUGGUCGAGUCGGCCUGCGCGGAAGAUGUAACGGGGCUAAACCAUGCACCGAAGCUGCGGCAGCGAACGUAUCACCCAAGACAACUUUACGGAGUUGACGAUUGACGGAGCGAAGCGACGUCAAAGCGUUCAUUAAAGUCGAGUUGGCUUAGGGAUACGUUCGUUGGGUAGGGGAGCGUUCUGUAAGCCUGUGAAGGUGUGUCGUGAGGCAUGCUGGAGGUAUCAGAAGUGCGAAUGCUGACAUAAGUAACGAUAAAGCGGGUGAAAAGCCCGCUCGCCGGAAGACCAAGGGUUCCUGUCCAACGUUAAUCGGGGCAGGGUGAGUCGACCCCUAAGGCGAGGCCGAAAGGCGUAGUCGAUGGGAAACGGGUUAAUAUUCCCGUACUUGGUGUUACUGCGAAGGGGGGACGGAGAAGGCUAUGUUGGCCGGGCGACGGUUGUCCCGGUUUAAGCGUGUAGGUGUGUGUUCCAGGUAAAUCCGGUUCACUUUAACACUGAGGCGUGAUGACGAGGCACUACGGUGCUGAAGCAACAAA
Molecule: ribosomal RNA, 972 nt
Filed under: Salmonella enterica
Lineage: Bacteria; Pseudomonadati; Pseudomonadota; Gammaproteobacteria; Enterobacterales; Enterobacteriaceae
Also listed under: 1 other name
Description: partial 23S ribosomal RNA
Rfam family: Bacterial large subunit ribosomal RNA
Source: RNAcentral